Molecule: ribosomal RNA, 462 nt
Filed under: uncultured bacterium
Lineage: Bacteria
Description: partial 16S ribosomal RNA
Rfam family: Bacterial small subunit ribosomal RNA
Source: RNAcentral
GAUAAACGCUGGCGGCGUGCUUAACACAUGCAAGUCGAACGAAGUUUUUCCUUCGGGAGAAACUUAGUGGCGGACGGGUGAGUAACGCGUGGGUAACCUGCCCUGUACAGGGGGACAACAGCUGGAAACGGCUGCUAAUACCGCAUAAGCACUUAGCACUGCAUGGUGCAUAGGGAAAAGGAGCAAUCCGGUACAGGAUGGAUCCGCGUCUGAUUAGCCAGUUGGCAGGGUAACGGCCUACCAAAGCGACGAUCAGUAGCCGAUCUGAGAGGAUGUACGGCCACAUUGGGACUGAGACACGGCCCAGACUCCUACGGGAGGCAGCAGUGGGGAAUAUUGCACAAUGGAGGAAACUCUGAUGCAGCGACGCCGCGUGAGUGAAGAAGUAUUUCGGUAUGUAAAGCUCUAUCAGCAGGGAAGAAAAUGACGGUACCUGACUAAGAAGCACCGGCUAAAUACGUG